UUUUUUUUUUUUUUUUUUUGCUAAACAACCCAAUACAAAGAUGAAAACCUGCUUUAGUUUGCAGCUAUACAAACACACCCCGCCCGGGCCAUUGUUGUCUGGCUGGAGAAUCAUUUUUAACAUGUGGGUGAGCAAAGCCUGACAUUGCCUUGCCCCCAUUACAUGCAGAUUGGGGAGACAUGAUUCCAUGAGUCCUUUAUGAAUUCUGGCCAUAUCUUCAAUCAUGAUCUCAGUAGUAUUCCUCUGAAAUGGCACACAUUUUUCUAAUGAGAACUUGAAAUGUAAAUAUUGUGUUUGUGCUGUAAAUUUUGUGUAUUUCAAAAAUUGAAGACUCAUAAAAAACACAUUUAUUGAUA
This 356-nucleotide long non-coding RNA is filed under the name Rattus norvegicus (Norway rat). RNAcentral's name for it is "long non-coding RNA NONRATT025705". Lineage: Eukaryota; Metazoa; Chordata; Mammalia; Rodentia; Muridae. The record is from RNAcentral.